Molecule: long non-coding RNA, 1731 nt
Filed under: Sus scrofa (pig)
Lineage: Eukaryota; Metazoa; Chordata; Mammalia; Artiodactyla; Suidae
Description: lncRNA (ENSSSCG00005019343.1)
Source: RNAcentral
CCUUCGCAUCCGGUAAGAGAGUAUUUGACCCUAUAAGGUCAAACUAGGAUGGUGGUGGUGCUUAUUCAAAUCAGCAGAAGGGCAGUAACACCUGCUAAAAUACACUGACUCAUUCCAGGUUUCUGUAUAAGGAGGGUCACCUACUUUGGAAUGUCAUCUGUCCCUUAAACUCCUGUUCUUGGUCCUAAGGAUCAUUGUCUCGCUGAACUUGAAUGCAGGUCUCAUUUUCCCUUUCACUGAGUGACCUAAGGCAUAUCUCAUGCAGCCAGCCUGCUUCGUUCUCGUGGCUUUUUUUUUUUUUUUUGUCUUUUUGCCAUUUCUUGGGCCGCUCCCGUGGCAUAUGGAGGUUUCCAGGCUAGGGGUCGAAUCGGAGCUGUAGCCACUGGCCUACGCCAGAGCCACAGCAACGCAGGAUCCGAGCCGCGUCUGCAACCUACACCACAGCUCACGGCAACGUCGGAUCGUUAACCCACUGAGCAAGGCCAGGGACCCAACCCGCAACCUCAUGGUUCCUAGUCGGAUUCGUUAACCACUGCGCCACGACGGGAACUCCUCUCGUGGCUUUCUUGAGCAAUGGUUAACGUAGCUGUGAUCUCCCCAAGUUCCCUGGGCUUCCCUUCUAUCUUUUAUCCUCUGUUGGGGCUUCUCCAACUACCUGUGUAACUAUCCCCUCCAUCCCUACCAGCAGGUGCUUUUUCUGUCUGCCUUUUUUUUUUUUUGGCUCCAUGUUCUCUUUAUGAAAUUCCAUUUUGUUGUUGUUGUUGCAGGCACUUCUACUGUAUUCUCACUGCUGUGUAGAGAGACGAUAUGUGACGUGUUGGGGCUGGCUGGGGACGAUUUCGCUCCCCAGGGGACAUUUUGACAAUAUCCGGAGACAUUUUUGGUUUUCACAGCUUGGCCAGGAGGGGGCAAGGGGUGCUGUGGCAUGUAGAUAGAGAGUAGAGGCCAGGGGUGCUGCUAAACAUCUCACCAGCCACAGGACAGCCCCCACAACCAGGCAUCACCAGCCCCCCGAGACCAGUAGUGCCAAGCAGGAGAAAUUCUGCUGUGCAGCCACUUUGGUGGAUGCUUGGGUCUCUUAGGAAUACGACUGCAGUGAAGGGUGAGCCACGGGUCCUUUGAAAAUACGUGGGAAUGGAAUUGCUGGGUGGGAGGACGUGUCUGUGCUCAGCUGAGCACACAGCGCCAGCCUUCCAGAGUGGUCCUGAUUCAGUAAUGCGAGAGCGUUCCAGUUGCUCUGCCUCUGCACCUCCCGGCCCAGGAACUUCUGCAUGCCAUGGGCAUGGCAAAAAAAAUAAAUAAAAUUUUUUUUGUAUCCUUCUCUUCCACCCUUCUCCAUUUCAGCUACGACACACUAGAUACUCAAAACACCACUGUUUGACGGUAAAUAAUCCCAGUCUAUAUUCUGUGAAAGACGGAUUGUGCACAGGUGUGCGUACUGUGUCCAGGUAAUUAGAGAAUGCGUUCAGGGCGGGGUGACUUGCGACUAGGGUUUCUCUUAUUUAAAUAACUCGCACCAGGAGUUCCUACUGUGGCUCUGUGGGUUAAAAACCCAGCUGGUAUCCAUGAGGAUUUGGGUUCCAUCUCUGGCCUCACUCAGUGGUUAGGGUGCUGCUGUGAGCUGCGGUGUGGCUCAUAGAUGCGGCCCGGAUCCUUCAAUUGCUAUGGCUAUGGUGUAGACAGUCAACUGCAGCUCCAAUGUGACCCCUAGCCUGGGAACUUCCCUAUGCC